AGACAAAGUAGCCAGCCCACCAUCCCUAGAUGAUUUUGCAGUCUUUGCACACCAGUGUGGCCAUAGGCCUGUUUUCUCCUGGACGGAGCCUGCAGAUCCUAUGAGCAAGCAUAUGUCCUGUGCUCCACUAGUCCUAGCUGGAUCGUGGACAUAUUACCAUCAUUACAAAUAUCAAUAGUUUGUGAUUACUUCAAACAAUCUGAAGUUGAAGGACCCCAGAUAUCCUUCAAAACAGGAAUCUGCAGGCAGAUGCUGAACCCAUGAAUACAGAGGGACAACUAUGCUCCGGCCCUGAACGCAGGAGAGUUGCUAAAGAAGUUGCUCACAGAGGCGGGAGAGAGCAGGCUACUGGUUUCCUUCAAAAUGGAAUAGGAAACAGAAAACGUGCAUCAUUUCUUCGCACUUGAAUCAGCAACAUGACACAGGACUUUGGCAUCAG
This 439-nucleotide long non-coding RNA is filed under the name Pan troglodytes (chimpanzee). RNAcentral's name for it is "lincRNA". The record is from RNAcentral. Lineage: Eukaryota; Metazoa; Chordata; Mammalia; Primates; Hominidae.